RNAcentral lists this ribosomal RNA (543 nucleotides) under Bifidobacterium bifidum. RNAcentral describes it as "bacterial SSU rRNA". It matches the Rfam family "Bacterial small subunit ribosomal RNA", at positions 157 to 710 of the family's 1533-position model. The record is from RNAcentral. Lineage: Bacteria; Bacillati; Actinomycetota; Actinomycetes; Bifidobacteriales; Bifidobacteriaceae.
CGGGUGGUAAUGCCGGAUGUUCCACAUGAUCGCAUGUGAUUGUGGGAAAGAUUCUAUCGGCGUGGGAUGGGGUCGCGUCCUAUCAGCUUGUUGGUGAGGUAACGGCUCACCAAGGCUUCGACGGGUAGCCGGCCUGAGAGGGCGACCGGCCACAUUGGGACUGAGAUACGGCCCAGACUCCUACGGGAGGCAGCAGUGGGGAAUAUUGCACAAUGGGCGCAAGCCUGAUGCAGCGACGCCGCGUGAGGGAUGGAGGCCUUCGGGUUGUAAACCUCUUUUGUUUGGGAGCAAGCCUUCGGGUGAGUGUACCUUUCGAAUAAGCGCCGGCUAACUACGUGCCAGCAGCCGCGGUAAUACGUAGGGCGCAAGCGUUAUCCGGAUUUAUUGGGCGUAAAGGGCUCGUAGGCGGCUCGUCGCGUCCGGUGUGAAAGUCCAUCGCUUAACGGUGGAUCUGCGCCGGGUACGGGCGGGCUGGAGUGCGGUAGGGGAGACUGGAAUUCCCGGUGUAACGGUGGAAUGUGUAGAUAUCGGAAAAAAAACACC